RNAcentral lists this ribosomal RNA (504 nucleotides) under Triticum aestivum (bread wheat). RNAcentral's name for it is "partial small subunit ribosomal RNA". Lineage: Eukaryota; Viridiplantae; Streptophyta; Magnoliopsida; Poales; Poaceae. The record is from RNAcentral.
AUGGCUUCCCGGGUCUCGCUCUCGGCGGCUUCCUUGGGCUCUUCAUCCCCCUCGGCCGCUCCCACCGCGCCGGCCAGGCCACCUCUGCGCUCCAUGGUGCUGGUUCCAGAUGUCGUCGGCACGGCUCAUGGGCCCAUCAUGCGCGGCGCUCCUUCUGCGUUGCGUGCUGCGCCGGCGGGUGGCUGGCAGGCCGGUGGCGGCCGCCGCCUGGUAGAUCUGCCCGGUCGCCGUCCUACAGAGGCGGCGAGGCGCUCUCCUCCGGGCAGAUGGCUGAAUAUCCUGCCCUCCUUGCGGCCUCUGAGGGGCCGCAUUCCGGUUGAGCUCGUCAGGUUCUGCUACAACUGCGGGGACAGCCGGCACAUCUCCGCCAUGUGCACAAGGCCGUCGCUUUUAUUGCGGUGCGGUGGGGAAGGCCACAUCUCGCGGGACUGCUACGUCCAGCGCCGGCGCCCGCGUAGCUCCUCUCCGGUGGCUCCUUGCCGCCCUCCGCCGGCGCUCCAUUAG